CAAGUCGAACGGGGUGAGGGGGCAACUCCUCAUUCAGUGGCGAACGGGUGAGUAAUGCAUCGGAACGUGUCCCGUAGUGGGGGAUAACGCCGCGAAAGCGGCGCUAAUACCGCAUAUGCUCUACGUAGGAAAGCAGGGGAUCCGCGAGGGCCUUGUGCUAGGGGAGCGGCCGAUGUCCGAUUAGGUAGUUGGUGGGGUAAUGGCCCACCAAGCCUGCGAUCGGUAGCUGGUCUGAGAGGAUGAUCAGCCACACUGGGACUGAGACACGGCCCAGACUCCUACGGGAGGCAGCAGUGGGGAAUUUUGGACAAUGGGGGCAACCCUGAUCCAGCCAUGCCGCGUGCGGGAAGAAGGCCUUCGGGUUGUAAACCGCUUUUAGCCGGGAAGAAAAGGGCACGGAUAACACCCGUGUUUUUUGACGGUACCGGCGGAAUAAGCACCGGCUAACUACGUGCCAGCAGCCGCGGUAAUACGUAGGGUGCGAGCGUUAAUCGGAAUUACUGGGCGUAAAGCGUGCGCAGGCGGUUCGUUGUGUCGGCGGUGAAAGCCCCGGGCUCAACCUGGGAAUGGCCGUUGAAACUGGCGAACUGGAGUGUGGCAGAGGGGGGUGGAAUUCC
This 617-nucleotide ribosomal RNA is filed under the name uncultured beta proteobacterium. RNAcentral describes it as "bacterial SSU rRNA". It matches the Rfam family "Bacterial small subunit ribosomal RNA", at positions 58 to 670 of the family's 1533-position model. The record is from RNAcentral. Lineage: Bacteria; Pseudomonadati; Pseudomonadota; Betaproteobacteria.